RNAcentral lists this transfer RNA (59 nucleotides) under Deroceras reticulatum. RNAcentral describes it as "tRNA-Ala". Lineage: Eukaryota; Metazoa; Mollusca; Gastropoda; Stylommatophora; Agriolimacidae. The record is from RNAcentral.
GGGAAUAUACUUUAUAUAGAAGAAUUGAUUUGCAAUCAAUAAGAGAUUACCUAUUUCCA